Molecule: non-coding RNA, 25 nt
Filed under: Cricetulus griseus (Chinese hamster)
Lineage: Eukaryota; Metazoa; Chordata; Mammalia; Rodentia; Cricetidae
Source: RNAcentral
GAGGACUUCUUUUUAAUGCGGUAGG